This 88-nucleotide transfer RNA is filed under the name Cellulomonas chitinilytica. Its description in RNAcentral is "tRNA-Gly". The record is from RNAcentral. Lineage: Bacteria; Bacillati; Actinomycetota; Actinomycetes; Micrococcales; Cellulomonadaceae. RNAcentral also lists the same sequence under 1 other name.
CGCUGAGCGGGCUGGUGGUGUGGCCGGCCGGGCUGCCGAUCCUGUCCGAGCGGGACUUCGGGCGCUCGUUCCUCGCGGACCUCAACGA